RNAcentral lists this ribosomal RNA (510 nucleotides) under uncultured bacterium. Its description in RNAcentral is "partial 16S ribosomal RNA". It matches the Rfam family "Bacterial small subunit ribosomal RNA", at positions 29 to 507 of the family's 1533-position model. The record is from RNAcentral.
ACAAACGCUGGCGGCAUGCCUAACACAUGCAAGUCGAACGGACAGAACAGGGAAGCUUUUCGGAGUGGAACUGGAAAGUUAGUGGCGGAUGGGUGAGUAACGCGUGGACAACCUACCUUGUAAAGGGGAAUAACCUCGAGAAAUCGAAGCUAAUACCCCAUAAUAACCUUGCUUCGCAUGAAGUAAGGAGGAAAGGCGGCCUUAGCGCUGUCGAUACAAGAUGGGUCCGCGUCUGAUUAGCUAGUUGGUGAGGUAAAGGCUCACCAAGGCGACGAUCAGUAGCCGGCCUGAGAGGGUGAACGGCCACAUUGGGACUGAGACACGGCCCAAACUCCUACGGGAGGCAGCAGUGGGGAAUCUUCCGCAAUGGGCGAAAGCCUGACGGAGCAAUGCCGCGUGAGUGAAGAAGGCCUUCGGGUUGUAAAACUCUGUCCUUAUCGAAGAGAGAGUGUUGUAGUAACUGACAAUACUAGGACGGUAGAUGAGGAGGAAGCCCCGGCUAACUAUGUA